This 25-nucleotide non-coding RNA is filed under the name Cricetulus griseus (Chinese hamster). The record is from RNAcentral. Lineage: Eukaryota; Metazoa; Chordata; Mammalia; Rodentia; Cricetidae.
GGCGUGGGGGUCGUCCACGGGGUGG